This 30-nucleotide non-coding RNA is filed under the name Rattus norvegicus (Norway rat). Lineage: Eukaryota; Metazoa; Chordata; Mammalia; Rodentia; Muridae. The record is from RNAcentral.
UGAGGAGCAUUUGUGAUGAGUCUUUCACGU